UUUUUUACAUCUGUUCCUGCACAAUAUGGUGUAAAUCAUCCUCUUGAAAUUCUCUGCAGGAGAUACUAAAGCCCUAAAGCUGUAGGAGUGCAGCUUACACGAAUAAAUGCGGUAAUGACCAGUUACUUAAGUUUGUUGUUUUGAUUCUUUGACUAAUAAACAUGCCUGCCAAUGUUUAUUCCAGUCAAAUGCAAUACACGUUGAGACAACUCACGUAAGAGGAAAAUAACCAGAAGUGUCUUCCGUCCUCCCUUGAGAGAGCAUUGAUGGUCAACAUAUAGUUAUUGAAAGAUGUAUAUGACGUAAUGCAAGUCUAAAAUCUUUUGUUAAACCUUGCUUUCUACAGGUGUAAUCGUGACUCCAUAAUCUUUGACUAUUGAGAUAUUUUUUUGACCCUGUAUUUUAUUGUGUUCUCCAGUUUGACAAGCAAUGUGGUGUAGAGUUUCCUGAGCGAGCAUGUCAAUGGUGGCGGGUUUUUAUGAUUAGGAUUUUCGUGUUUGCCUGUUCCUAUGGAGUGACUGAGGACUAAUGCAUCGGUGUAGGCUUGGGAUUGCAGCGGUUGUACCUACAAAAGUGGCAGAAAGCAAUGCUAAAAUUAUAUUGAAGCUUUCAUCAAGACAAACAAUAAAGUGGCAAAGGAUAAUUUGGUUUUAGUUUCUGCUGAAUGAUGGUUUUAUGAUGUAUCAAACAUUGAUGGAGUCAUCUGUUGGAGAAAACAAUCAUGCCAUAUGAUAUUGUUUAUUUUUUCAUUAGCAGUCAUAUUGUCUCCCAACAACCUGCACUACAUUAUAAUUCUCAAGACAACUAGGAAGAAAUGUGAUACAUUUAUUUUCUUAUUUUCUUAUUAUCUCCUAAAUACUCAAUGUAGUAUAUUCAAUUGGGCAAAUUAUCGCUUAGGUUGAAGUGAAAUUGCAUUUUAUGAUGCGAAUAUCAUAGCGUUGUUUUUUUAAGUGCAAAGUUUACAUUUAUGUGUGAAUGGUAAUAACCCAGCAAGGAGCUUAUCUAUUGCACUAAUCUUAGUUGAGCUAUUAUCAUGUUGAGCAGGCCCUGUUUACUAUCUGCCAUUUAGGUUUUCUUAUUUACUUUUUCUUCCAUAGAUCCAAAUCUUUCUUGAUGUGAUCGGUUCAACUUGUGCAAAUUUGCUUGAUUUGUUUUUUAUUGGGCUUGGGAUAGUUGUUCGCCCCUGCUGCGUGGUAGGUAAAGUAUUAUCUUAUUUACUAUAAGUGGCUGCUAAAUAAGAGGAAUGCAUCCAGUAGUGUAGAAAUUUCAGAUAUGCUCUUGAGCAUGCAAGUGCUUUGGAGAAAUACAUUAGCUUAGAGGAGUGUGAGGCCCCGCCAGUGG
Molecule: non-coding RNA, 1341 nt
Organism: Lolium perenne
Lineage: Eukaryota; Viridiplantae; Streptophyta; Magnoliopsida; Poales; Poaceae
Source: RefSeq, a predicted model, not a curated record